RNAcentral lists this ribosomal RNA (254 nucleotides) under uncultured bacterium. RNAcentral's name for it is "partial 16S ribosomal RNA". It matches the Rfam family "Bacterial small subunit ribosomal RNA", at positions 524 to 776 of the family's 1533-position model. The record is from RNAcentral.
UACGGAGGGGGCAAGCGUUGUUCGGAAUUACUGGGCGUAAAGGGCGCGCAGGCGGCUGCUCAAGUCAGGCGUGAAAGGCCUGGGCUCAACCCGGGAAUUGCGCUUGAGACUGGGCUGGCUUGAGUGCGGGAGAGGAUGGUGGAAUUCCCAGUGUAGAGGUGAAAUGCGUAGAUAUCUGGAGGAAUACCGGUGGCGAAGGCGGCAUCCUGGACCGGCAUUGACGCUGAGGAGCGAAAGCUAGGGGAGCAAACGGG